RNAcentral lists this ribosomal RNA (384 nucleotides) under uncultured bacterium. RNAcentral's name for it is "bacterial SSU rRNA". It matches the Rfam family "Bacterial small subunit ribosomal RNA", at positions 28 to 416 of the family's 1533-position model. The record is from RNAcentral.
GACGAACGCUGGCGGCGUGCUUAACACAUGCAAGUCGAGCGGUAAGGCCCUUUCGGGGGUACACGAGCGGCGAACGGGUGAGUAACACGUGGGUGACCUGCCCUCAGCUCUGGGAUAAGCCUGGGAAACCGGGUCUAAUACUGGAUAUGACUCCAUGACGCAUGUUGUGGGGUGAAAGCCUUGUGCGGCUGAGGAUGGGCCCGCGGCCUAUCAGCUUGUUGGUGGGGUGANGGCCUACCAAGGCGACGACGGGUAGCCGGCCUGAGAGGGCGACCGGCCACACUGGGACUGAGACACGGCCCAGACUCCUACGGGAGGCAGCAGUGGGAAUCUUGCGCAAUGGGCAAAGCCUGACGCAGCGACGCCGCGUGAGGGAUGACGGCC